RNAcentral lists this ribosomal RNA (491 nucleotides) under uncultured bacterium. RNAcentral describes it as "partial 16S ribosomal RNA". It matches the Rfam family "Bacterial small subunit ribosomal RNA", at positions 29 to 506 of the family's 1533-position model. The record is from RNAcentral.
AGUGAACGCUGGCGGUAGGCCUAACACAUGCAAGUCGAACGGCAGCACAGUAAGAGCUUGCUCUUACGGGUGGCGAGUGGCGGACGGGUGAGGAAUACAUCGGAAUCUACUUUUUCGUGGGGGAUAACGUAGGGAAACUUACGCUAAUACCGCAUACGACCUACGGGUGAAAGCAGGGGAUCUUCGGACCUUGCGCGAUUGAAUGAGCCGAUGUCGGAUUAGCUAGUUGGCGGGGUAAAGGCCCACCAAGGCGACGAUCCGUAGCUGGUCUGAGAGGAUGAUCAGCCACACUGGAACUGAGAAACGGUCCAGACUCCUACGGGAGGCAGCAGUGGGGAAUAUUGGACAAUGGGCGCAAGCCUGAUCCAGCCAUACCGCGUGGGUGAAGAAGGCCUUCGGGUUGUAAAGCCCUUUUGUUGGGAAAGAAAGGCAGCAGGUUAAUACCCCGCUGUUCUGACGGUACCCAAAGAAUAAGCACCGGCGAACUUCGU